GGAAGCACAAAUCGUCUUAUAUUUUCUCAUCCUUAUCUUUUGUUCCUCAAACCCGGUUGCCGCCCUUCUCCUCCAAUACUGUUCAUUUGCGUUCUUAUUAAUUUUUUUUUCCGUUCUUCUAACCCUAGAACCAACCAGCGGAGGUACCUUGUCUUCUUUUCAUCCGGUAGACCGUUGGGACAGAAGGUAGUCACGAGCAGCAACAACAGCAGGCAAAUGGCGGCAAUAAGUGGCGUUGAGUGGAAGUGGGUGGCUCCGCUGCUCCCUUCCUUGCAUCCGUCUGUCAAGAAUGGUAAAUCCAGAUGAGGUUGAAAUUUCACGUGGUGGAAUUUUGGAAGUCAUCACCACUCUAUAUGCUAAAAUUUCACCGUUCUUUGAAAAAGAAACCCCUGAAGCGUCCGCGAAUAACCAUGAAGACCAACAAGUCGUCGGUUUCUUCCAAUUUUGUUGUCUUUGGAGUUUAGUUAUUUGCUUUGAAAUUGGUUUAACAAAUUUGAAGAAAUUUGUUUUGGGUUAUCUUUAAUUAACUCUAUCUAUUGGAUUUCCAUCUGAAAUUGGUACUAAGAUUAAAUUGUUUGUUUGUAUUGAUUCUCAUGAUUUCAAUUUUUUUUUGGUUCUUCAAUGAUACAGAGGUUAGCUGAUAUGAAAAUGUUAGCAUAUAUUUUUUUUGGGUUAUCUUUAAUUAGGUGUGUCAAUUGGAUUUCCAUAUGAAAUUGGUACUAAGAUUAAAUUGUUUAUUUGUAUUGAUUCUCAUGAUUUCAAUUUUUUUUUUUGUUCUUCAAGGAUACAGGAUACAGAGGUUAGCUGAUAUGAAAAGGUUAGCAUAUAUGAAUCAAACGGUAAAACUUGCAAAAAUUGGAUUGUUUAUUUCUCUUUUAAAUAAUUUGCAAAAAUAGCUCAUUGUUAUACUGUGGAGUCCAUUCAGAUCAUUGUCUGUUGAAUUGGAGGCUUUUAUACUUAUAAAGCUUUUCGUCUCAAAUAGAAUUCGCUAUUUAGAAAAUGUAGCAGCAAAACAGCUCCAGUGAGAUUUUUUUUUUAGUUUUUUCGGAUAAGAAAGUAAAAAUAAAAUUCCAUUGUAUCAUUUCAUCAAACACUUGGCUUUUAAUUUUUUUUAUAGCAGCCUAACAAUGGGAAGAAAGAUUACAAGUUUGGGUUUAGGUUCAUUGUACAUUCUUAUAAUUAUAUAUUAAAAAUGAUUUUUAAUUUUUUUUAUUGAUUUAUUUAUGUAUUUUAGAUGCUUAAUUAUUUGUCGAUUUCUAUGGAUGAUGAUACUUCGUAGGCUUUAAUACUGGCUGCACUCUCUGAUUCG
This 1309-nucleotide long non-coding RNA is filed under the name Lactuca sativa (garden lettuce). RNAcentral's name for it is "long non-coding RNA (LSAT_LNC005833)". The record is from RNAcentral. Lineage: Eukaryota; Viridiplantae; Streptophyta; Magnoliopsida; Asterales; Asteraceae.